AGUGAACGCUGGCGGUAGGCCUAACACAUGCAAGUCGAACGGCAGCACAGUAAGAGCUUGCUCUUACGGGUGGCGAGUGGCGGACGGGUGAGGAAUACAUCGGAAUCUACUUUUUCGUGGGGGAUAACGUAGGGAAACUUACGCUAAUACCGCAUACGACCUACGGGUGAAAGCAGGGGAUCUUCGGACCUUGCGCGGUUGAAUGAGCCGAUGUCGGAUUAGCUAGUUGGCGGGGUAAAGGCCCACCAAGGCGACGAUCCGUAGCUGGUCUGAGGGGAUGAUCAGCCACACUGGAACUGAGACACGGUCCAGACUCCUACGGGAGGCAGCAGUGGGGAAUAUUGGACAAUGGGCGCAAGCCUGAUCCAGCCAUACCGCGUGGGUGAAGAAGGCCUUCGGGUUGUAAAGCCCUUUUGUUGGGAAAGAAAAGCAGCAGGUUAAUACCCCGCUGUUCUGACGGUACCCAAAGAAUAAGCACCGGCUAACUUCGUG
This 492-nucleotide ribosomal RNA is filed under the name uncultured bacterium. Its description in RNAcentral is "partial 16S ribosomal RNA". It matches the Rfam family "Bacterial small subunit ribosomal RNA", at positions 29 to 507 of the family's 1533-position model. The record is from RNAcentral.